This 65-nucleotide transfer RNA is filed under the name Lamproblatta albipalpus. Its description in RNAcentral is "tRNA-Tyr". It matches the Rfam family "tRNA". Rfam says of the family: Transfer RNA (tRNA) molecules are approximately 80 nucleotides in length. The record is from RNAcentral. Lineage: Eukaryota; Metazoa; Arthropoda; Insecta; Blattodea; Lamproblattidae.
AGUAGAAUGGCUGAGUUUAAGGUAUUAGAUUGUAAAUCUAAGAAGGAAUUAAUAUUCUUCUACUA